UUCUUCGGGGCGGGGUGCGAUUCCCCACCGGCGGUUACAGUCCGCGACCUGCUUUGCGCAGCUGAUUUGGUGAAAUUCCAAAACCGACAGUAUAGUCUGGAUGAGAGAAGAA
Molecule: non-coding RNA, 112 nt
Filed under: human gut metagenome
Description: FMN riboswitch (RFN element)
Rfam family: FMN riboswitch aptamer (RFN element)
About the family: The RFN element is a highly conserved domain that is found frequently in the 5'-untranslated regions of prokaryotic mRNAs that encode for flavin mononucleotide (FMN) biosynthesis and transport proteins.
Source: RNAcentral